UACGAAGGGGGCUAGCGUUGCUCGGAUUGACUGGGCGUAAAGGGCGCGUAGGCGGUUCGUACAGUCAGACGUGAAAUUCCUGGGCUCAACCUGGGGGCUGCGUUUGAUACGUGCGGACUUGAGUGCGGAAGAGGGUCGGUGGAAUUCCCAGUGUAGAGGUGAAAUUCGUAGAUAUUGGGAAGAACACCGGUGGCGAAGGCGGCGACCUGGUCCGAUACUGACGCUGAGGAGCGAAAGCGUGGGGAGCGAACAGG
RNAcentral lists this ribosomal RNA (254 nucleotides) under uncultured bacterium. Its description in RNAcentral is "partial 16S ribosomal RNA". It matches the Rfam family "Bacterial small subunit ribosomal RNA", at positions 524 to 776 of the family's 1533-position model. The record is from RNAcentral.